ACUCCUACGGGAGGCAGCAGUGGGGAAUCUUGGACAAUGGGGGCAACCCUGAUCCAGCCAUGCCGCGUGAGUGAUGAAGGCCUUAGGGUCGUAAAGCUCUUUCGCCUGUGAAGAUAAUGACGGUAGCAGGUAAAGAAACCCCGGCUAACUCCGUGCCAGCAGCCGCGGUAAUACGGAGGGGGUUAGCGUUGUUCGGAAUUACUGGGGCGUAAAGCGCACGUAGGCGGAUCGGAAAGUUGGGGGUGAAAUCCCGGGGCUCAACCCCGGAACUGCCUCCAAAACUAUCGGUCUAGAGUUCGAGAGAGGUGAGUGGAAUUCCGAGUGUAGAGGUGAAAUUCGUAGAUAUUCGGAGGAACACCAGUGGCGAAGGCGGCUCACUGGCUCGAUACUGACGCUGAGGUGCGAAAGUGUGGGGAGCAAACAGGAUUAGAUACCCUGGUAGGAUAGCG
Molecule: ribosomal RNA, 449 nt
Filed under: uncultured bacterium
Lineage: Bacteria
Description: bacterial SSU rRNA
Rfam family: Bacterial small subunit ribosomal RNA
Source: RNAcentral